RNAcentral lists this ribosomal RNA (468 nucleotides) under uncultured bacterium. Its description in RNAcentral is "partial 16S ribosomal RNA". It matches the Rfam family "Bacterial small subunit ribosomal RNA", at positions 28 to 523 of the family's 1533-position model. The record is from RNAcentral.
GAUGAACGCUGGCGGCGUGCCUAACACAUGCAAGUCGAGCGAUUUACUUCGGUAAAGAGCGGCGGACGGGUGAGUAACGCGUGGGUAACCUGCCCUGUACACACGGAUAACAUACCGAAAGGUAUGCUAAUACGAGAUAAUAUACUUUUAUCGCAUGGUAGAAGUAUCAAAGCUCCGGCGGUACAGGAUGGACCCGCGUCUGAUUAGCUAGUUGGUAAGGUAACGGCUUACCAAGGCGACGAUCAGUAGCCGACCUGAGAGGGUGAUCGGCCACAUUGGAACUGAGACACGGUCCAAACUCCUACGGGAGGCAGCAGUGGGGAAUAUUGCACAAUGGGCGAAAGCCUGAUGCAGCAACGCCGCGUGAGCGAUGAAGGCCUUCGGGUCGUAAAGCUCUGUCCUCAAGGAAGAUAAUGACGGUACUUGAGGAGGAAGCCCCGGCUAACUACGUGCCAGCCGCCGCCGUAA